ACGCACGCUGGCGGCGUGCUUCACCCCUGCCAGUCGCGCGGAAAGGCCCUUCGGGGUACUCGAGCGGCGAACGGGUGAGUAACACGUGAGUAACCUGCCCUAGGCUUUGGGAUAACCCCGGGAAACCGGGGCUAAUACCGGAUAUGACCUGGUGCCGCAUGGUGUUGGGUGGAAAGUUUUUUCGGCCUGGGAUGGGCUCGCGGCCUAUCAGCUUGUUGGUGGGGUGAUGGCCUACCAAGGCGAUGACGGGUAGCCGGCCUGAGAGGGCGACCGGCCACACUGGGACUGAGACACGGCCCAGACUCCUACGGGAGGCAGCAGUGGGGAAUAUUGCACAAUGGGCGGAAGCCUGAUGCAGCGACGCCGUGUGAGGGAUGAAGGCCUUCGGGUUGUAAACCUCUUUCAGCAGGGACGAAGCGUGAGUGACGGUACCUGCAGAAGAAGCGCCGGCCAACUACGUG
This 461-nucleotide ribosomal RNA is filed under the name uncultured bacterium. RNAcentral describes it as "partial 16S ribosomal RNA". It matches the Rfam family "Bacterial small subunit ribosomal RNA", at positions 29 to 507 of the family's 1533-position model. The record is from RNAcentral.